Molecule: ribosomal RNA, 253 nt
Filed under: uncultured bacterium
Lineage: Bacteria
Description: partial 16S ribosomal RNA
Rfam family: Bacterial small subunit ribosomal RNA
Source: RNAcentral
UACGAAGGGGGCUAGCGUUGUUCGGAAUUACUGGGCGUAAAGCGCACGUAGGCGGAUACUUAAGUCAGGGGUGAAAUCCCGAGGCUCAACCUCGGAACUGCCUUUGAUACUGGGUAUCUCGAGUCCGGAAGAGGUGAGUGGAAUUCCGAGUGUAGAGGUGAAAUUCGUAGAUAUUCGGAGGAACACCAGUGGCGAAGGCGGCUCACUGGUCCGGUACUGACGCUGAGGUGCGAAAGCUAGGGGAGCAAACGGG